AGAGGUGUAGCUCAGUGGUAGAGUUCUUACCUAGCAAAUGUGAGGUCCUGGGUUCCUUUCCCAGUGCCACCA
This is a non-coding RNA of Heterocephalus glaber (naked mole-rat), 72 nucleotides long. NCBI's taxonomy places the organism in Eukaryota, Metazoa, Chordata, Mammalia, Rodentia, Bathyergidae. The record is from Rfam.